RNAcentral lists this ribosomal RNA (1317 nucleotides) under Triticum aestivum (bread wheat). Its description in RNAcentral is "partial small subunit ribosomal RNA". Lineage: Eukaryota; Viridiplantae; Streptophyta; Magnoliopsida; Poales; Poaceae. The record is from RNAcentral.
AUGGACUCCCGCCACCAGCGGCUGGCGACGCUGACCAAGGCCCUGACCGCGCACGUCAACGCCGGCCGCCACCGCGAAGCGCUCGCCUUCUUCGCCCGCAUGGCCUCCGACCCGGCGCUCCCGCCGCUCGCCGACCCGUCCUUCGCGUACGCCCUCCCGCUCGCGCUCAAGUCCGCCGCCGCGCUCCGCCUCCCCUCCUCCUCCGCCGCCGCGCCCAUCCACGCCCUCGCGCGCAAGUGCAGCGGCCUCCUCAGCAACCCCUUCGUCGCCUCCGCACUCGUCGCCUCCUACGGCACCGGCUCCUCCGCCGAGGCCGCGCGCCGCCUGUUCGAUGAAUUGCCCGGCCGCACCGCCGUCGUCUGGAGCGCCAUGAUCUCCGUCUACGUCCGGUCGGGGGACGUCUCGGCGGCCGCGCGGGCUCUCGGCGAUAUGGAUGUUGUGCCGACCGCCUCCUGCUUCAACUCGGUGAUCGCGGCGGUGGUGGAGUCUGGGGAGCACCCUGCCCGGGCCGUCGAGCUCUACCGGCAGAUGCAGGGGAUGGGCAUCAAGCCCUCGCUCAUCACCCUGCUGGCGCUUGUCCGCGUGUGCACGGGGCUGGGCGCGCUGAGCUCGGUCAGGGAGGUGCACGGCUUCGCGGUGCGGCACGGCAUGUUUGUGAGCUGCCAUCUCGGCAGCUCCCUCGUCGAGGCGUACGGGCGGUGUGGCUCUUUGGUCGGCGCGCAGAGGGUUUUUGAACUGGCGGAGGAGCGCGACGUGGUUGUCUGGAGCUCCAUGGUGUCGGCGUACGCGUUCCAUGGCCAUGGAGACGUUGCGGUGUCGCUUUUCAGGCGUAUGGAGCUGGAGAAGGUCCGGCCUGAUGGCAUCAUGUUCCUCGGCGUGUUGAAGGCCUGCGGCCAUGCUGGUCGCGCAGAUGACGCCUUGAAGUAUUUCGAUGUGUUAACCAAGACAUAUGGAGUGGAAGCAUGCGGAGAUCAUUAUUCGUGCUUGGUUGAUGUCUUGGGACGGGCAGGGAGGUUGCAUCAGGCCUAUGAUGUUAUACGGACGAUGCCGGUUAGAGUUACCGCAAAGGCCUGGGGUGCUCUCCUUGCUGCUUGCAGGAAGUAUGGGGAGGUGGGGCUGGCAGAAGUUGCAGCGAGAGCGUUGUUUGAGAUUGAACCAGAGAAUGCAGGGAACUUUAUUUCGCUUGCAAAUAUCUAUUCGGGCUUGGGUAUGCAUGAGGAGGCAGAGCGGGUGAGAAGGGACAUGGAGCAACAAGGCUUGCAGAGCUCACCUGGAAGCAGUUGGACGAUACACCGCAAGUCAAGUGAACUUGUCUGA